CGCUAGCUACAGGCUUAACACAUGCAAGUCGAGGGGCAGCAUGGUCUUAGCUUGCUAAGGCCGAUGGCGACCGGCGCACGGGUGAGUAACACGUAUCCAACCUGCCGUCUACUCUUGGACAGCCUUCUGAAAGGAAGAUUAAUACAAGAUGGCAUCAUGAGUCCGCAUGUUCACAUGAUUAAAGGUAUUCCGGUAGACGAUGGGGAUGCGUUCCAUUAGAUAGUAGGCGGGGUAACGGCCCACCUAGUCUUCGAUGGAUAGGGGUUCUGAGAGGAAGGUCCCCCACAUUGGAACUGAGACACGGUCCAAACUCCUACGGGAGGCAGCAGUGAGGAAUAUUGGUCAAUGGGCGAGAGCCUGAACCAGCCAAGUAGCGUGAAGGAUGACUGCCCUAUGGGUUGUAAACUUCUUUUAUAAAGGAAUAAAGUCGGGUAUGGAUACCCGUUUGCAUGUACUUUAUGAAUAAGGAUCGGCUAACUCCGUGCCAGCAGCCGCGGUAAUACGGAGGAUCCGAGCGUUAUCCGGAUUUAUUGGGUUUAAAGGGAGCGUAGAUGGAUGUUUAAGUCAGUUGUGAAAGUUUGCGGCUCAACCGUAAAAUUGCAGUUGAUACUGGAUAUCUUGAGUGCAGUUGAGGCAGGCGGAAUUCGUGGUGUAGCGGUGAAAUGCUUAGAUAUCACGAAGAACUCCGAUUGCGAAGGCAGCCUGCUAAGCUGCAACUGACAUUGAGGCUCGAAAGUGUGGGUAUCAAACAGGAUUAGAUACCCUGGUAGUCCACACGGUAAACGAUGAAUACUCGCUGUUUGCGAUAUACUGCAAGCGGCCAAGCGAAAGCGUUAAGUAUUCCACCUGGGGAGUACGCCGGCAACGGUGAAACUCAAAGGAAUUGACGGGGGCCCGCACAAGCGGAGGAACAUGUGGUUUAAUUCGAUGAUACGCGAGGAACCUUACCCGGGCUUAAAUUGCAGAUGAAUUACGGUGAAAGCCGUAAGCCGCAAGGCAUCUGUGAAGGUGCUGCAUGGUUGUCGUCAGCUCGUGCCGUGAGGUGUCGGCUUAAGUGCCAUAACGAGCGCAACCCUUGUUGUCAGUUACUAACAGGUUCCGCUGAGGACUCUGGCAAGACUGCCAUCGUAAGAUGUGAGGAAGGUGGGGAUGACGUCAAAUCAGCACGGCCCUUACGUCCGGGGCUACACACGUGUUACAAUGGGGGGUACAGAGGGCCGCUACCACGCGAGUGGAUGCCAAUCCCCAAAACCUCUCUCAGUUCGGACUGGAGUCUGCAACCCGACUCCACGAAGCUGGAUUCGCUAGUAAUCGCGCAUCAGCCACGGCGCGGUGAAUACGUUCCCGGGCCUUGUACACACCGCCCGUCAAGCCAUGGGAGCCGGGGGUACCUGAAGUGCGUAACCGCGAGGAGCGCCCUAGGGUAAAACUGGUGACUGGGGC
This 1443-nucleotide ribosomal RNA is filed under the name uncultured organism. RNAcentral describes it as "16S ribosomal RNA". It matches the Rfam family "Bacterial small subunit ribosomal RNA". The record is from RNAcentral.